Molecule: non-coding RNA, 96 nt
Organism: Mycena leptocephala
Lineage: Eukaryota; Fungi; Basidiomycota; Agaricomycetes; Agaricales; Mycenaceae
Source: the annotation of a GenBank genome assembly
GCCUCCGUGGAUCAGUGGUAGAUCGCCCUGACAAAAUGUACCUUCGUUGGAAUAGUUGUUAACAGGGAGCCGUGGGUUCGAAUCCCAUCAGAGGCA